Cynoglossus semilaevis (tongue sole) is the source of this 1258-nucleotide long non-coding RNA. RefSeq lists it as uncharacterized. NCBI's taxonomy places the organism in Eukaryota, Metazoa, Chordata, Actinopteri, Pleuronectiformes, Cynoglossidae. The transcript is spliced from 2 exons. The record is from RefSeq and is a predicted model, not a curated record.
AUCUUCGUUCCGCUCAAAUACUGGCAUCCAGGCCAACUUUGUGAGUGUUGGCCGUCCGCUUUUACCAUAUGCAUUUAGUGUCAUUUUCUAUAGCAAACCAAAAGGAAAUUGGCAGUUCAGGACCACACUGGUGUUUUUAAAAAACUAUUUCAAACCCAUUAACGUAGUGUUGAAAGUCUGAUUUUGGUCAGUUUCAAAGAUAGUCACGCAAAGUCGUCAAGGUUGGUUCGCAAUCGACGGAAACACGUCUUGGUUGUGUGCACCAGCCAAAAACUGUAGGUUGUUUGUUGGCUCGAAUGUUUGGCAUGAUUGGAAUUGGAAAAUUUUAGAUAUUUUUUUUUAGCUUAGCAACUUUUUUUAGCAGUUAGGAAUUGGCAGACAGAUGUCAGAAAAGUUGAAUCUGUUGCAUCUGUGCUAGGAUUGAUUAAUACCUUCAUUACUUUUUGUAGAGUAAAAAAACUCCAAUGGGACGGUUGCAAAAAAAAAAAAGGGGGCUAAAAAGAUGUGGUAAUCAUUUAGCACUAGCUCCAGACAAGGAGAAAAUCAACACAAAGCUUUGGACGAUGUCAGAACUUCUUCAAGUUAGACACGAUAGAGACGCCGACCACAGCGGCUGCCUGCAAGGGGACAAAACAAUUUCUAUAAAUAAAAAGAAAAACAGCUUAGGAGUACUGUAAUACAAAUGUGUAACUGGCUUAAAACAAGCAAAAAAACACCAGUACGGUCAACUCAGAAUUCUUGGCCAUGAAGUACAGUUCAAAUACUUUAAAGAAGGAAGGGUAAGAGGAAGCCAGGCUGCAAUACUUGUCCGGAAAGUAGCGUCUUUAGCUCUAAACACUUAACACUCUGAUAGCAGUGCAAAACAAAUCAGGAAGUUGUAAAAGUCAGAGAGACAGAAACUGGGACCCUCAAAAUCACCGAAGGGCAAAAUACGGUGAAAACAUUCCUAAAAUGUUGGUAAACGCUCUCUCUGCUCAGUCACUCACACGCACGCACGUAAAAACACGCCUUAUAUUUGCAUUAACACCUGCCUAUACAUCUUACAGUAACCUUUAUGUUUAAAGAACACAUAAUGGAUGACUGGGUUCACUGUGGUCACUGUUCUCCACUCCCCACUGUCUGAUGCCCGAUGUCCCUGUGAUAGCCCUUAUGAAGAUGAAGGAAAAGUCACUGUAGAAAAAGGUCAAGACCUUUGACCUCCCAAAAGAGUAUCUGUAUUUUACUGGAACUAAUCAAAGCAAGCCUCAAAAAGUGUAAA